GAAACUACACCUUUAUCUAUUUGUAAUUUUCCUUCCCCUGCCAGGUUGCAUUCAUGGGAGGAGGAAAGAAGUUGGGAGAAGACAGUGUAACUUUAUGGUGUCCAUGUAUUGAAAGGAGUCAAAUGCUUUACCAUGCAUUUCAAUGGAAAUAUGGAGAAAAAAGUGCAUCCUGUGGUUCAGUGAUACUUAUGUAAUUACUGGAGGAACAGAUGGCCAAUCCAUAGUACACAGAUUCCACAAAAAUUUAGAAGCAAUGUGUCCAUACACACAGCUGAUGACAAGGGAAAACAUUGGAAGCAAAUUGACUUAUGACUUGCUGGAAACUUCGAAUUAUACUAUCAAAUAGAUGAAGAAGGCUGAUGUAUACAAUUUGCCAACAGUGGAGGGCAUUGCGACAAAACAUGCACCCUAUAGGAAAGGCAAGGCUGUCAAACACCAUUACUUCCAAGCCGUAAUUCCACGCUGACUCAGCCACAGGCAGGCAGUAAUCACAGCCAAGUUUAUGUGCUCACAAUUGAUGUGGCCAUAUUUCCACAUUCUUAAAAGCAAAGCCAGGAGGAAAGGGUGAUCAAAAAGUUUUUAUGGGACUAGUCACGAAAUGCUGACAGCUUGGGGUUAUUGAUUUGUCUUUGGCUAACUUCUGUAACUCAAAGUGAUUUGCCUAACCAAAAAUGAAGGCAUGUCAGGGGAAUCCUUGUGGGUUCUUUUUUGUUUUUUUGACUAUUUUGUAACAAAGACUUCGUCAGUUCUUUAUCCUAUAGAGAAUAAUUGAUUUGGAGUGAUGGUAAGUGUUCAGAUGAGAUAUCUAAAGACAUUUAUCUUAGCAGUCCCACAGCCCACAGAAUCAAUAUUGUUUAUGUUAAUGAUGUGAUUGGCUCACUGCUUCAGAAAUACUGAAAGGCGUGUGCAGGAGCACUCAAGGCACCAUUGUCAAUUACCUCUUUGUAUUCCUAAUUGUAGAAAUAAACCACUGGAUAUGUAUUUGACUACAGCUCUGAGCCAG
RNAcentral lists this long non-coding RNA (1003 nucleotides) under Heterocephalus glaber (naked mole-rat). RNAcentral's name for it is "lncRNA (ENSHGLG00000045479.1)". Lineage: Eukaryota; Metazoa; Chordata; Mammalia; Rodentia; Bathyergidae. The record is from RNAcentral.